This 2934-nucleotide long non-coding RNA is filed under the name Triticum aestivum (bread wheat). RNAcentral's name for it is "long non-coding RNA (TAES_LNC016129)". Lineage: Eukaryota; Viridiplantae; Streptophyta; Magnoliopsida; Poales; Poaceae. The record is from RNAcentral.
UCCGGUGGCCGUAGGUUGUCGGACGUCCGGUGGCACAUCGAUCGUCCGACCUCUGGGGACUCCGCAGCUCCGUCUUCCUCCAUCUUCGCUUCCAUGCUUCCCUCGCGGAUGGUGUAGGUGUUCCUUGGCGCUUGCACCUCUCCUCGUCAUCCGUAGCGUUCCGACAAUACCUAUGCAUGCACACGAGUGGAGUGUCAAGUAGUAUACAAUCCUCAAAGGGGUCAAGUGAACACGUGUAAAGGAGAAGAUUCACCUUUAUGUAUGAGAAGUAGAGGUCGCACGUGUCACUUGCCAAACAGACUUUUGACAUGGUGAUGACCGUAGGAUGCUCCACAUCACAAACCAAAAAAUGAAGCAACAAAGGUUGAUUGCCUACACCUUUAUCAACUAACACUGCUUGCUCAUUUGGUCACCGCAUAGAAGCCGGUAAGCAACUAAUAAUCUGCUACAAGAGGUACAACUUUAUCAUCUGUCUCCUACUCAUACAUCAAGCUUUCAAAGUAUAUCUAAUUUUCAGGUCUGGACAGAUUCAAGCAACUGAGAGCAUACUACCCUUUUUGGUUCAAAUUAAAUGGCCCAAUCUUCCAUCAGAUUGAUAUGGGGCUUAGAGUUUAGAACAUACUUACAACAUGGGGCUUAGAGUUUAGAACUGACUUACAGCUGGAUAAUGUAAUACGGCAAUACCUGUAGAAUGAUAAUGCAAAUACCUGUAGUUAAAUCCAUCAGUUUUAGCACAUUCGUAGAACCAUGUUUCUCCACUGCUCUGCAAUCAUUUGUUAACGCACCUUUUGUCAGUAUGAGCAACCAACAUCAUCUAAAAGGAAGCAUACAAAUGUAGGUACCGCAACUCUCUAUAAUGUAGACAGUUCAUAGCAGAAUACACACAGCGCAAGGAGCAGAUGUUGAAAGCGCAAGAUCUUAUACAAAAGGUCUCAACCAUGUAAUGUUGAAAAGCAUAAGAAUAAUGCCAUAAACUUAAAUACUAAUCUUUAAAAAUAUCAUUAGAAAGAGCAGUACAUCAUAGAAAAACAAUGCAAUAAGUAUAGACAACCUAGCCACUCCAACUUAAAAAGAAUCAAGUUCCAACUCCAGAACACAUAUGACCAUUACAGAACCACUUAUCAGUACUACAUUCUGGCCUUACCGUCACAUGGCAACCAAACUAAUCCUCAUAUAUUUUAAAAAAAAACAACAACUCUACUGACCCUUCAUAGGCAGAACUCAACUAACCGGCUGGUUAGCCAAGCAUUAUGUGCCUGCUGCAAUCUUCAAGUAUAUACUCUAACCUACUUAUUUCUUGAUACUGAGAGAUGCAAAAAGAAGUUAGAGUAGCCAAGGCUUAGAUGUUGUACCAGUCAGCAAAUCUGCACUGCUCUGCUUGGAAGAGCGUCAGAUGGAUCCAGCCAUCGUUGGCCAGAGACGCACCAAAGUACGACCUUACAACCCCUUUUCAUCCCCUCUCGCCUCCUCAAAUAUUAAAAAUAUUGUGUAUUUAAAUUUCUUCUUUAGCAAUGGAAAGCAUAAGGAAAGCUCGAUGAGAAUUGAAUAACUUCCUAGAAAUAAAUAAGUGACAACUAAACAAGGCACACAGAAGGCAAAAACUUCAUGAUUUGUAUGCCUUCUUUUCACUGAUGAUGAUGCUUACUUUAGUGUAGCCCUAGUGAAAAAGAAAAUAAACUUGUGCCUUAUCGAUCAAAAUGUCACUACCUAGACUAAUGGUCCAAACAAAAUCACCUCUAUGGACAAAAGAUUCCAAUGGAUAAUUGACUGUAAUGUGUAUGAUGAUCAUGCAUAUCUAGCUCUAUAUUAGCAUGUUAGGGAAAAAAUCAAGAAAUUAAAGGCAAUAUAUCUCAGGGAAUAAGAUGCAUCUUUCACAUCUCAGUUAAAAGAAGCCCCAACAUCACCAGUAAAAGUGUUUGUCUUUGGUUCAAUUUUCCUGACUUCCCCAAGUGCUUGUACAGUUGAAAAAUAUAUCAUAACUGAAUACAAUGAAACAGCAAGAAGCAAAUGGCAAGAAAAUUGAAAUGGUGUAGCAAUUAAGUACUACAGCAAACCGAAUAGGAACAGAUCAAAUAUAAACAAAGAAGUGCAAUGCCCUUUUCCUUAUGGUGGCGUUCCUUAAUGUAACCUACAAACCAACCAUGUCAUCUAUUUUUGUGCUACAUAUAGACUGAAACCAAGCAAGAUAAUGUAAUCUGACAAGAAGUAUAGUAUAGCUGAUUUAGAAAUUGUGAAUUGGCCAUUCCAAACAAAAACAACAUUGCUGGUGCUGCAAAAAUGGAUAAUCCAGCGCCAAAUAGUGAUGCCUCCAUAAAUCAAAUCCCUAGGAAUUUUCCCGCAGAUAGCAACAAAAAAAAAACAAAUCUCAGAACAAGGUACCACUCAGUAGAAAUCUGAAAACUGCACUGGGCAAUGCCAUCAAAAAAGUCACACCCGGCCAUCAUUACACCAUACUGCAAAUUUUGCAUUUUCAGUGUUACGAUCGUUCAUGCAUAUAUCAUUACACUGCAGUUCUCCAGAAAUAGACCGAGUUAAUUAUUCUGUUCUACAAAAAGAUCAGAAUCACGAUUGUCGAGUAUCCUCUCUCAAACUAAAAACAUCAAUUCGUAGCUAAUCCCCAAAUAUAGAUAGUAAUCUGACGAAACCAAAACACCGCAUUCACCAAAUAUGGAGAUCUGAAGAUUGGAAGGGAGGCAUAGGAUACCUGUAAAAGUAGGAGAUCAUGGCUAAACGCACAGAACACACACGCAUCAAGGACCAGGGAGAGCAGGGAUUUGGUGGAAGUUACCUUGCCGGGAUGGGAUUCUUGGUGUCAACAGUGGAGCUAACUCGCGGCAGUGACGGAGGUGACUCGAGGCGACGGCCAGGGCGACUCCAUGCAGUGGCUAGCGAAUCCAGGUGGCAGCGACGGCCAAGCCAGGGCGCCCUUGAUCC